This 568-nucleotide ribosomal RNA is filed under the name uncultured organism. RNAcentral's name for it is "bacterial SSU rRNA". It matches the Rfam family "Bacterial small subunit ribosomal RNA", at positions 247 to 826 of the family's 1533-position model. The record is from RNAcentral.
AGUUGGUGAGGUAAAUGCUCACCCAAGCCUAUGACGGGUAGCUUGGUCUUGAGAGGAUGGUCAGUCAGACUGGGACUGCGACACGGCCCAGACUCCUACGGGAGGCAGCAACUAGGAAUUGUGCGCAAUGGACGAAAGUCUGACGCCGCGACAUCGCGUGGAGGAUGAAGGUCUUCGGAUUGUAAACUCCUUUUCUUACCGAACAAGUUCUGAGUGUAGGUAAGGAAUAAGUGCCUGCUAACCACGCGCCAGAAGCAUCGGUAAUACGUGGGGCACGAGCGUUAUCCGGAUUUACUGGGCGUAAAGAGAAGCGUAGGCGGCUCGAUAAGUUUGGUGUUAAAUCUUCCGGCUCAACCGGAAACAAGCACCGAAAACUAUCGAGAUUGAGUCGAGUAGGGAAGAGGGGAAUUCCUGGUGGAGCGGUUAAAUGCGUAGAUAUCAGGAGGAAUACCAAGGGCGAAGGCACCUCUUUGGACUCGUACUGACGCUGAGGCUCGAAAGCGUGGGUAGCAAAACGGAUUAGAUACCCGUGUAGUCCACGCCGUAAACGAUCCCUGUUAGAUGUAUG